GUCAGCUUGAGUGCAUGAGAGGAAAGCGGAAUUCCUAGUGUAGCGGUGAAAUGCGUAGAUAUUAGGAGGAACACCCGUGGCGAAGGCGGCUUUCUGGACUGUAACUGACGCUGAGGCACGAAAGCGUGGGGAGCAAACAGGAUUAGAUACCCUGGUAGUCCACGCUGUAAACGAUGAAUACUAGGUGUCGGGGGUCAAAGCCCGGUGCCGCAGCUAACGCAUUAAGUAUUCCGCCUGGGGAGUACCGUCGCAAGACUGAAACUCAAACGAAUUGACGGGGACCCGCACAAGCAGCGGAGCAUGUGGUUUAAUUCGAAGCAACGCGAAGAACCUUACCAGGUCUUGACAUCCCUCUGAAUGGCGCUUAGCAGCGCAGGUCUUUCGGGACAGGGGAGACAGGUGGUGCAUGGUUGUCGUCAGCUCGUGUCGUGAGAUGUUGGGUUAAGUCCCGCAACGAGCGCAACCCUUGCCUUUAGUUGCCAGCACAUCAUGGUGGGCACUCUAGAGGGACUGCCGGUGACAAACCGGAGGAAGGGGGGAUGACGUCAAAUCAUCAUGCCCCUUAUGAUCUGGGCUACACACGUGCUACAAUGGCCGGUACAACGAGAAGCGAAACCGCGAGGUGAAGCAAAUCUUUUAAAGC
Molecule: ribosomal RNA, 643 nt
Filed under: uncultured bacterium
Lineage: Bacteria
Description: bacterial SSU rRNA
Rfam family: Bacterial small subunit ribosomal RNA
Source: RNAcentral